CACGUAGGGCGCAAGCGUUGUCCGGAAUUAUUGGGCGUAAAGAGCUCGUAGGCGGUCUGUUGCGUCCGCUGUGAAAACUCGGGGCUUAACCCCGAGCCUGCAGUGGAUACGGGCAGACUAGAGGUAGGUAGGGGAGAAUGGAAUUCCCGGUGUAGCGGUGAAAUGCGCAGAUAUCGGGAGGAACACCUGUGGCGAAAGCGGCUCACUGGACCACAACUGACGCUGAGGUGCGAAAGCGUGGGGAGCAAACAGG
RNAcentral lists this ribosomal RNA (253 nucleotides) under uncultured bacterium. Its description in RNAcentral is "partial 16S ribosomal RNA". It matches the Rfam family "Bacterial small subunit ribosomal RNA", at positions 524 to 776 of the family's 1533-position model. The record is from RNAcentral.